CAGGGAUGAAGCACUGCUCUCUGAGGCUGCGGGAGCGCUGAUAAGCGAGCUCUGCUAACAGCUCACGCUGAGGCGGAACCACUGCACGUGCGCGGGAUCGGCGGGCGACUCCGAAGCGCACGUAAGGUGUGGAGGAGGAGGGUUUGCAGCAGUCGGAUAGGUGUAGCCGUCUCCUUGCCAAGCGAAGCAGCCCGUAAGGUCACAGACCGGCGCGUCUGUUUCCCGAGGCACUGUCCCCGUGCCGACGCGGAGUGCCCGCUGGGGCCGCGCGGUCUCCCCCUGCUCCGCGCGGCCUGCGCCGGACGCUCCCCGCCACCGCCGCGCCGCAGCCAGACACAGCUACCCACCCU
Molecule: long non-coding RNA, 350 nt
Filed under: Gallus gallus (chicken)
Lineage: Eukaryota; Metazoa; Chordata; Aves; Galliformes; Phasianidae
Source: RNAcentral